CAUUUACAUUAAUGCUUUUGGGGUUAAGAGGAGACUUCCAACUACAGUUAGAAACCAUUACACUUUGAGAAUAUUGAUUGAGAGGUGAUAAAACAUGAUGUGUGUUAUCAAAGAGCAGAGCCUUCUCAUGUGGAAAUGCUAGGACAGCAAGAGUAGGAGAGCAGACUAACCACUAGAAUCAGGGUUAGGCCUUCAUAAAGCAACUGAUAUCCCCCAACCUGCAGAGGUCUGUUUCCUUGUGUUACUCAGUGAACUGGUAUUUUGUAUUUUCCUGGUAUUCUUAGGUGGCCAUUAUUGCUGUUAUUCCAGCUGUGAUACUGAAAAGAAAUAGCGAAGAUUUUGCCUUCAGAAAGUUCUCAGUGACAACCAGGGUUAUGAAAUAAUCUAUACUGGCAAUUUCUGCAAGUUUGACAAGUCAUCUGUCUUUAAAAUUGGGGCAAGACAAGAACAUUUAAAAAAACUCUUUGUGAAGAGAGACAGUGUCUCAGAGUGUCUCACUGUGUCACCGAGGCUGGAGUGCAAUGGUGUGAUCAUAGCUCACUGCAGCAUCCAACUCCUGGGCUCAGGUGAUCCUCCUGCUUCAGCCUCCUGAGUAGCUGGGACAGCAGGCUCACACCAUCACACCCAGCUAAUUUAACUUUUGUAGAGAUAGAGUCUCACUAUGUUACCCAGGCUGGUGUCUUGAACUCCUGGCCUGAAGCAAUUCUCUGCCUCAGCCUCCCAAAGUGCUGGGAUUAAAGGCAUGAGCCAUUGUGCCAGUAUGGAUUGUUUGUUUUUGGAAUUUUUAUUUAAUAUUUUUUGACUACUGUUGACCACACUUAACUGAAACUGCAGAAACUGAAAACACAGAUAAAGGGCGCUAUUGUAUUUUAUGAUUCCUCCACCAUUUAGUUACUGUGGGGGUGCUACUGGAGACUGUAAAUCUCCUGUUCCUCAAUAACCUUUCCACUCUAUGGUUUUAUCAUCUAUUGAUAAUUUUCACCGGAAUGAAAUUUACUGCCUUCAUUCUAAAAUAGUAAUUUUCCAAUUUAUAAUCUAUUUUGUAUGUUUUAGUCAGUAUUCUAUUGUUAGAAAAGGAUUUGUUUAUAGCAUACUUGUCUUUCUCUUUAUUUAUCUGCAAUCAAUACAGACUCAGAAAUCAUUUUAUUCGGAAUUUUAAUCUAUGUGCGUCAAUAUGGAUCCUGGUCAAAUUACUAUUACAGUAUAUUUUACAUAAGAUACACUCAUUUAGAUGCAUUGAAUGGUUGAUAAAUUUUGAGAAAAGCACACAACAGAAUCAAAAUAUAGAACGUUUUUGUUAUGCUCAUAUUUCUCUGUUGUCCUUUUGCAUGAUUGCUGAAAACUUCCAUUAUAUGAAAAAUGUUUUUCUUUGUAUCACUAUAUAUUUUUGUCAAUUCUAAAAUUUUAUACACAUAAAAUUACCCUGUACUUACUUGUGUGUGCCUGACUUCUUUUGCUUAGCUUAGUGUC
Molecule: long non-coding RNA, 1470 nt
Filed under: Homo sapiens (human)
Lineage: Eukaryota; Metazoa; Chordata; Mammalia; Primates; Hominidae
Description: HSALNT0153296
Source: RNAcentral